CGGGGUUUGUCCGUUUGGAGCCCCGCUCCCUCUGUACGGGGGAGCCGUUUUCUUCUUUCUUUCUUCUUUCUUGCCUAUUAAACUUUCCGCCCCUUAAAACAAC
Molecule: long non-coding RNA, 103 nt
Organism: Homo sapiens (human)
Lineage: Eukaryota; Metazoa; Chordata; Mammalia; Primates; Hominidae
Source: Ensembl